This 692-nucleotide ribosomal RNA is filed under the name Argiope bruennichi. Its description in RNAcentral is "SSU rRNA". It matches the Rfam family "Eukaryotic small subunit ribosomal RNA", at positions 420 to 1115 of the family's 1831-position model. The record is from RNAcentral. Lineage: Eukaryota; Metazoa; Arthropoda; Arachnida; Araneae; Araneidae.
GGAAGGCAGCAGGCGCGCAAAUUACCCACUCCCAGCACGGGGAGGUAGUGACGAAAAAUAACAAUACGGGACUCUUUUGAGACCCCGUAAUUGGAAUGAGUACACUCUAAAUCCUUUAACGAGGAUCCAUUGGAGAGCAAGUCUGGUGCCAGCAGUCGCGGUAAUUCCAGCUCCAAUAGCGUAUAUUAAAGUUGUUGCGGUUAAAAAGCUCGUAGUUGGAUCUCAGCUCCGGCCGGACGGUCCGCCUACCGGUGGUUACUGUUCGCUGCCGAGCGUUCAGGGGGCUUCUGUCUAUGAUCUUCACCGGUUGUGGGCGGAGACCCUCACGUUUACUUUGAAAAAAUUAGAGUGCUCAAAGCAGGCGCGACGCCUGAAUAAUUGUGCAUGGAAUAAUGGAAUAGGACCUCGGUUCUAUUUUGUUGGUUUUCGGAACACGAGGUAAUGAUUAAGAGGGACAGACGGGGGCAUUCGUAUUGCGACGCUAGAGGUGAAAUUCUUGGACCGUCGCAAGACGAACUACUGCGAAAGCAUUUGCCAAGAAUGUUUCCAUUAAUCAAGAACGAAAGUUAGAGGUUCGAAGGCGAUCAGAUACCGCCCUAGUUCUAACCAUAAACGAUGCCAGCCAGCGAUCCGGCUGUGUUCCUCAAAUGACACGCCGGGCAGCUUCCGGGAAACCAAAGCUUUUGGGUUCC